This is a long non-coding RNA of Tachysurus fulvidraco (yellow catfish), 1727 nucleotides long. RefSeq lists it as uncharacterized. The transcript has 3 exons. The record is from RefSeq and is a predicted model, not a curated record. Lineage: Eukaryota; Metazoa; Chordata; Actinopteri; Siluriformes; Bagridae.
UUUGGACAGUGGUGCAGUCUUGUCAUCGUCUCGUCUUAGUCAUGAAAAAAAAAGUUUGUUGACGAACAUAUUUCGUCUCGUCUGACGAAAUUAACACUACAUAUAACAGAGGUAGCGUUUUUUCAGGCCACCAGUUCAAUGUCCGUCUGCUCGGCAUCCAUCUUCAUCCGUUCUGCGCUGCACACCGGAAAAAGACACUACAUGACCAUACCGCCACACGUGCCACUGCCUAAACUGAAACUCACUGCUGGUCUUUUUUUUUUUUUUUGUAAUUAGCGGAUAGCGGUGUAUUGUAUGAAAAUAGACAAACAGCUUUCAGAGAGAAUGGGUUAUCAUGUCCACACAUGCAUUUAUUUAUUAUUUACCUGUUUCAUAUAAUCGCAGCAUUUUGCGUCAUACAAUCGCACAGGCUUGAUAUCGCGAUUGCGAUAUCAUUAAUCGUGCAGCACUAGUUCUGAGUAAAGCAAACGCAACCUCUGUAUCUUGUAACAGUUCAAUUCCAUUCCAUUUACAGUAACAACAACAUUUUUACAGAUUUUUGGAACUCGGUGCACACAUAAGGCGCACCGGAUUAUUAGGCGCACGACUUAUUUUUGAGAAAAUUUAAGGCUUUUAGGUGCAACUUAUAGUGUGGAAAAUACUGUACUUAUAAAACAUAUUAUAGCAGCUUUACAGAACAGGAAAUAAUGUGAACGUAAAUAAUGUUAAUGUAAAUAAUGUCCUUUUUUACAACAGUGUAUGGUCCAGUGGAAUUGUGAAACCAAGAGCUCCUGAGGUCAGCAUCAUUUCUGAGAUCAUUACAGACUUAACAGUAAUUCCUUCCAGCUGAAGGCUUUAAAUGUUCACUGAUGAAGACCAGAGCACAAAGCUGACUGACGCAAUGAAUGCAACAUCUUUACAUUGUCCAAACACAGAGUGCGGAUGAAGCAGCUGUACACUGUUCCCUUUGAGAGGAACAGUGAGAGAGUCAAGGAACUACGACGACAAUAUGUCCAGAGAGUUAUGGAAUUGAAGGCCAACCAGGCCCCUCAUGAAUUCAUUUACUGUACUUAGAUGAGGCAGGAUUCAAUCUAUCCAAAAGGCGUCGACGUGGACGAAAUAUAGUUGGAAAAAGGGCCACAGUUGAUGUGCCAGGACAGAGAGGGGCAGACAUUACCAUGUGUGCAGCAAUGGCAAAUGCAGGAUUACUCCUUCACAGAUGUCAGGUUGGACCCUAUAGUACCUAACGCCUCCUUGCCUCUCUCAAUGAUCUCCACCAGCGCCUGGUACCAGAGCAGGAUCAGGAGGGUGAAAACAUGAGGACAUUUGUAAUUACCUGAGACAAAGUUGCUUUCCAUCAUUCGCAAGCAAUAACAGCAUGAUUUGAAGUCCACCCAAGACUGGUAAGUCUCUUCCUUCCACCCUAUUCACCUUUCCUCAACCCCAUAGAGGAGUUCUUUUCUGCAUGGAGGUGGAAGGUUUAUGACCAUCAGCCACAUGACCAGAUGUCCCUCCUUGAAGCCAUGGAUGCUGGCUGCAGGGACAUCACAGUUCAAGAUUGCCAAGGUGGAUCCGACAUACCAAGCGAUUUUAUCCCAGGUGCAUCGCCUUUGGAUGAUAUCAGAUGUGAUGCUGACAAAAACAUGUGGCCUAACCCUGAAGAUUGCAGGGAUUAGAUACAUUACAGUAAUUUUGUGCUAUUUUUAGUUCCCCCCCUUCUUAUCUGGGCUUUUUUCUGUUUUGUUUUU